UACGAAGGGGGCUAGCGUUGUUCGGAAUCACUGGGCGUAAAGCGCACGUAGGCGGAUCUUUAAGUCAGGGGUGAAAUCCCGAGGCUCAACCUCGGAACUGCCUUUGAUACUGGGGAUCUCGAGUCCGGGAGAGGUGAGUGGAACUGCGAGUGUAGAGGUGAAAUUCGUAGAUAUUCGGAAGAACACCAGUGGCGAAGGCGGCUCACUGGCCCGGUACUGACGCUGAGGCGCGAAAGCGUGGGGAGCAAACAGG
Molecule: ribosomal RNA, 253 nt
Filed under: uncultured bacterium
Lineage: Bacteria
Description: partial 16S ribosomal RNA
Rfam family: Bacterial small subunit ribosomal RNA
Source: RNAcentral